GACGAACGCUGGCGGCGUGCUUAACACAUGCAAGUCGAACGGCAAGGCCCUGCUUUUGUGCGGUGCUCGAGUGGCGAACGGGUGAGUAACACGUGUGUAACCUGCCCUUGACUUUGGGAUAACUUCAGGAAACUGGGGCUAAUACCGGAUAGGAUCUCCUGCUGCAUGGUGGGGGUUGGAAAGUUUCGGCGGGUGGGGAUGGACUGGCGGCUUAUCGGCUUGUUGGUGGGGUAGGGGCUUACCAAGGCUUGGACGGGUAGCCGGCCUGAGAGGGUGACCGGCCACAUUGGGACUGAGAUACGGCCCAGACUCCUACGGGAGGCAGCAGUGGGGAAUAUUGCACAAUGGGCGGAAGCCUGAUGCAGCAACGCCGCGUGCGGGAUGACGGCCUUCGGGUUGUAAACCGCUUUCGCCUGUGACGAAGCGUGAGUGACGGUAAUGGGUAAAGAAGCACCGGCUAACUACGUG
RNAcentral lists this ribosomal RNA (468 nucleotides) under uncultured bacterium. RNAcentral's name for it is "partial 16S ribosomal RNA". It matches the Rfam family "Bacterial small subunit ribosomal RNA", at positions 28 to 507 of the family's 1533-position model. The record is from RNAcentral.